CCCUUGUCCUUAGUUACCAGCACGUUAUGGUGGGCACUCUAAGGAGACUGCCGGUGACAAACCGGAGGAAGGUGGGGAUGACGUCAAGUCAUCAUGGCCCUUACGGCCUGGGCUACACACGUGCUACAAUGGUCGGUACAGAGGGUUGCCAAGCCGCGAGGUGGAGCUAAUCCCAUAAAACCGAUCGUAGUCCGGAUCGCAGUCUGCAACUCGACUGCGUGAAGUCGGAAUCGCUAGUAAUCGCGAAUCAGAAUGUCGCGGUGAAUACGUU
RNAcentral lists this ribosomal RNA (271 nucleotides) under Pseudomonas chlororaphis. RNAcentral describes it as "partial 16S ribosomal RNA". It matches the Rfam family "Bacterial small subunit ribosomal RNA", at positions 1102 to 1372 of the family's 1533-position model. The record is from RNAcentral. Lineage: Bacteria; Pseudomonadati; Pseudomonadota; Gammaproteobacteria; Pseudomonadales; Pseudomonadaceae.